RNAcentral lists this ribosomal RNA (519 nucleotides) under uncultured bacterium. Its description in RNAcentral is "bacterial SSU rRNA". It matches the Rfam family "Bacterial small subunit ribosomal RNA", at positions 18 to 518 of the family's 1533-position model. The record is from RNAcentral.
CCUGGCUUAGGAUGGACGCUGGCGGCGUGCUUAACACAUGCAAGUCGAACGAAGCAUCCUCAUCCGUGGAAGGGAGUAGCUUGCUACGAACGGACACACCCGAGGAUGACUUAGUGGCGGACGGGUGAGUAACGCGUGGGUAACCUGCCCCAUAGAGGGGGACAACAGUUGGAAACGACUGCUAAUACCGCAUAGUAAUGUAGAUCCGCAUGCUUCUACAUUGAAAGCUUUUGCGCUAUGGGAUGGACCCGCGUCUGAUUAGCUAGUUGGUGAGGUAACGGCCCACCAAGGCAACGAUCAGUAGCCGGCUUGAGGGAGUGAACGGCCACAUUGGGACUGAGACACGGCCCAAACUCCUACGGGAGGCAGCAGUGGGGAAUAUUGCACAAUGGGGGAAACCCUGAUGCAAGCGACGCCGCGUGAGUGAAGAAGUAUUUCGGUAUGUAAAGCUCUAUCAGCAGGAAAGAUAAUGACGGUACCUGACUAAGAAGCCCCGGCUAACUACGUGCCAGCCGCGGC